This 104-nucleotide microRNA precursor is filed under the name Helianthus annuus (common sunflower). Its description in RNAcentral is "sRNA HanXRQr2_Chr01g0018231". It matches the Rfam family "MIR390 microRNA precursor family". RNAcentral also lists the same sequence under 1 other name. The record is from Rfam by way of RNAcentral. Lineage: Eukaryota; Viridiplantae; Streptophyta; Magnoliopsida; Asterales; Asteraceae.
UGAAAGAAUCUGUAAAGCUCAGGAGGGAUAACGCCGAUACAUAAUCCAUAAAGAUCAUGUUUAUGCGGCGGCGCUAUCUAUCCUGAGCCUCACGGCUUCUUCUU